Molecule: ribosomal RNA, 560 nt
Filed under: uncultured bacterium
Lineage: Bacteria
Description: bacterial SSU rRNA
Rfam family: Bacterial small subunit ribosomal RNA
Source: RNAcentral
GCUCUUCUUGGAUGAGUUGCGAACGGGUGAGUAACGCGUAGGUAACCUGCCUUGUAGCGGGGGAUAACUAUUGGAAACGAUAGCUAAUACCGCAUAACAAUGGAUGACACAUGUCAUUUAUUUGAAAGGGGCAAUUGCUCCACUACAAGAUGGACCUGCGUUGUAUUAGCUAGUAGGUGAGGUAAUGGCUCACCUAGGCGACGAUACAUAGCCGACCUGAGAGGGUGAUCGGCCACACUGGGACUGAGACACGGCCCAGACUCCUACGGGAGGCAGCAGUAGGGAAUCUUCGGCAAUGGGGGCAACCCUGACCGAGCAACGCCGCGUGAGUGAAGAAGGUUUUCGGAUCGUAAAGCUCUGUUGUAAGUCAGGAGCGGGUGUGAGAGUGGAAAGUUCACACUGUGACGGUAGCUUACCAAAAAGGGACGGCUAACUACUUGCCCGCACCCGCGGUAAUACAUAGGUCCCCAGCGUUGUCCGGAUUUAUUGGGGCGUAAAGCGAGCGCAGGCGGUUUGAUAAAUCUGAAAUUAAAGGGUGGGGGCUCAACCAUAAUUCGCUU